This 471-nucleotide ribosomal RNA is filed under the name Triticum aestivum (bread wheat). RNAcentral describes it as "partial small subunit ribosomal RNA". Lineage: Eukaryota; Viridiplantae; Streptophyta; Magnoliopsida; Poales; Poaceae. The record is from RNAcentral.
AUGGUUGGUGGUUGUCUCUCCUUCAAGCGCGUCCACGCCCGGCUCCUGGAGUUGUGGCGCCGUUCAGUUUGUCAUAUGCUACAGAAGGCUCGGACAGCCAGAUAUAGCACGGAUAGUCCUGUUCUUGCGCGCGGCGGUGCGAGCUGCACAGUUUGGCCUGGAUCCUGCCCAGUCCUGCGCGCGGUGGUGUUGACCGGCUAUGUUUGGCUCUCCCUCGACCUUUCCUAUGCGCUGCGGUGUGGAGGAUCGCCCAGUUCUGCGCAUGGAGGUAGAGAAUGGCCAGGUACGGCUUGGAUCGCCCAGGGCCUGCGAGCGGCGGUGCAGACCGGUCGAGUUGGUGUGUGCUCACAGAGUUCCUGCGUGCGGCUUGACCAAUUCGUUUCUAGUAGUGUUGGUUUGGGCUCAUGUUGCAUUGUGGCGCUGGUGGCCUCGGAUCCUUGGAUUGUUGGUGGAAGACUCGGCUCCAGAUGA